Molecule: transfer RNA, 84 nt
Filed under: Candidatus Yanofskyibacteriota bacterium
Lineage: Bacteria; Candidatus Yanofskyibacteriota
Description: Candidatus Yanofskybacteria bacterium tRNA-Tyr
Rfam family: tRNA
About the family: Transfer RNA (tRNA) molecules are approximately 80 nucleotides in length. Their secondary structure includes four short double-helical elements and three loops (D, anti-codon, and T loops).
Source: RNAcentral
GGGGGUGUACUCAAGCAGUCAACGAGGGCAGACUGUAAAUCUGCUGGCCUUGUGCCUACGUAGGUGCAAAUCCUACCGCCCCCA